UAGGGAAUAUUGGUCAAUGGAUGCAAGUCUGAACCAGCCAUGCCGCGUGCAGGAAGAAGGCCUUCUGGGUUGUAAACUGCUUUUGUCAGGGGAUAAAAUUUCCUUGCGAGGAAAAUUGAAGGUACCUGGCGAAUAAGCCACGGCUAACUACGUGCCAGCAGCCGCGGUAAUACGUAGGUGGCAAGCGUUGUCCGGAUUUAUUGGGUUUAAAGGGUGCGUAGGCGGCCUUAUAAGUCAGUGCUGAAAUAUCCCGGCUUAACCGGGAGGGUGGCAUUGAUACUGUAGGGCUUGAGUCGAGUUGAGGUUGGCGGAAUUGACGGUGUAGCGGUGAAAUGCUUAGAUAUCGUCAAGAACACCGAUAGUGAAGACAGCUAACUAAGCUCAAACUGACGCUGAGGCACGAAAGUGUGGGGAUCAAACA
Molecule: ribosomal RNA, 421 nt
Filed under: uncultured Ohtaekwangia sp.
Lineage: Bacteria; Pseudomonadati; Bacteroidota; Cytophagia; Cytophagales; Fulvivirgaceae
Description: bacterial SSU rRNA
Rfam family: Bacterial small subunit ribosomal RNA
Source: RNAcentral